AAACUUACCUGGCUGGGGGCGUCUCGCGAUCAUUAAGGCGGGACCCCCAUGGUGAGGCCCGCGCAUUGCACUUUCGCCCGGGCUGACCCGUGUGGCAGUCUCGAACUGAGAUUCGCCAACAGCUAAAUUUUUGUGUGUGGG
Molecule: small nuclear RNA, 141 nt
Filed under: Ancylostoma caninum (dog hookworm)
Lineage: Eukaryota; Metazoa; Nematoda; Chromadorea; Rhabditida; Ancylostomatidae
Description: U1 spliceosomal RNA
Rfam family: U1 spliceosomal RNA
About the family: U1 is a small nuclear RNA (snRNA) component of the spliceosome (involved in pre-mRNA splicing). Its 5' end forms complementary base pairs with the 5' splice junction, thus defining the 5' donor site of an intron.
Source: RNAcentral